RNAcentral lists this ribosomal RNA (412 nucleotides) under uncultured eukaryote. Its description in RNAcentral is "SSU rRNA". It matches the Rfam family "Eukaryotic small subunit ribosomal RNA", at positions 592 to 1015 of the family's 1831-position model. The record is from RNAcentral.
CAAUAGCGUAUAUUAAAGUUGUUGCAGUUAAAAGCUCGUAGUUGGAUUUCUGGGAGGGUGACUUUGUCCGCCAAAGCGCGUGUGCAGCGGCGCCCUCUCAUCCUUCUGUUAACGCCUCUUGGCAUUCACUUGCUGGUGGCGGGCUCAGAUAUUUUACCUUGAGAAAAUUAGAGUGUUCAGGCAGGCUAGGCCGGAAUACAUUAGCAUGGAAUAAUGGAAUAGGACUAUGGUCUCUUUGUUGGUUUGAGGGACUGCAGUAAUGAUUAAUAGGGAUAGUUGGGGGCAGUUAGUAUUUAAUUUGUCAGAGGUGGAAUUCUCAGAUUUGUUAAAGACUAACUUAUGCGAAAGCAUUUGCCAAGGAUGUUUUCAUUAAUCAAGAACGAAAGUUAGGGGAUCGAAGACGAUCAGAUAC